UCGAGAAUUUUUCUCAAUGGGCGCAAGCCUGAAGGAGCGACGCCGCGUGGAGGAUGAAGGUCUUCGGAUUGUAAACUCCUGUCAUUUGGGAACAAAUACCAGGUUUAACUGACUUGGAACUGAUAGUACCAGAAGAGGAAGAGACGGCUAACUCUGUGCCAGCAGCCGCGGUAAUACAGAGGUCUCAACCGUUGUUCGGAUUCAUUGGGCGUAAAGGGUGCGUAGGCGGUCGCGCAAGUCGGAUGUGAAAUCUUGGGGCUCAACCCCGAAACUGCAUUCGAUACUGCGUGGCUCGAGUACUGGAGAGGAGACUGGAAUUUACGGUGUAGCAGUGAAAUGCGUAGAUAUCGUAAGGAAGACCAGUGGCGAAGGCGAGUCUCUGGACAGUUACUGACGCUGAGGCACGAAGGCCAGGGGAGCAAACGG
This 426-nucleotide ribosomal RNA is filed under the name uncultured bacterium. Its description in RNAcentral is "bacterial SSU rRNA". It matches the Rfam family "Bacterial small subunit ribosomal RNA", at positions 355 to 775 of the family's 1533-position model. The record is from RNAcentral.